GGACAAUCUGGUUUCCUACAGAGCAUCCAGCACUGAUACAUGUCCUCCUUCUCUGGAUCACACUGUCUACCAGGUGCCCAAUGAACUCCACCAACUCUUCUAUGCAGAACAUAGGGGCUUAAGAAGUGACAAAGAAGAAAUGUAGAGGUUUCUGAAAUGAACACCUUUCAUAAAUGAGGACUAUAAUGACAAUAUAUUCAACUUAGAACAGGGCUUAGAAACACAAAGCCCAACAGAAUGUUAGUAAAUUGGAUG
RNAcentral lists this long non-coding RNA (255 nucleotides) under Mustela putorius furo (domestic ferret). Its description in RNAcentral is "lncRNA (ENSMPUG00000028847.1)". The record is from RNAcentral. Lineage: Eukaryota; Metazoa; Chordata; Mammalia; Carnivora; Mustelidae.